Long non-coding RNA from Drosophila ananassae, 715 nucleotides. RefSeq lists it as uncharacterized. The record is from RefSeq and is a predicted model, not a curated record. The transcript is spliced from 3 exons. Lineage: Eukaryota; Metazoa; Arthropoda; Insecta; Diptera; Drosophilidae.
CUAGUGUUAGCUCUCAUGCUAAAUAUUGUACAAUUGGAUUGAAAUUGAUAGUUAUAUUAAUAUUGGAUAAGCACCCUGCUGGCUGGGCACCCCUACAUGGGCGCCACAAUCCUGGUUAGGCGUUUUUGGGGAUUUUUCAAAGUAACAACAUUGUUGGACGUUAGAGCUUGGGAAUCGAGUUGGAUUGGAUAAUUAUAUGGAUCGAAAGUGACAAACUACUGAGAAGCUGGCAAUAAUGAAGGCUAAUGGUGGAAGCCAAUUAUUCAUUUAUUUUUCUAUGGGUUCUAUAAUGUCUGAUCCAUGGAUUAGAAUCGAUGGUCCUGUUCCAUUAUUUAAUUUUACAAUUUAACUUUAGGGUUUCUAUGUGGAUGCUUGGAUACCGAAUGUACUUCGCAUCGCUGGGCCCUGCGGCUUGCGAUCGGCUCUCCGGAGGCACUGGUUCACAUUUAGUAGAUAUCAAAAGCACGGAGGUGGUGCAUUCCUUAUUGGGGGAUGCUUUGGAGGAUAUUCACAUUACAACAGGGAAGCACGAGCAAAAUUCUUACUAAUUGUAUGAUCGGCCAGAUCUAGAAAGACGCCGACAAUGUCCCCGGGUCCGCACUGUUUACCGAAGGAUUCACUGACGCCACCAGACACUUUCUCUUCCUAAAAUGUUGAAUUGCAAGUGACAGAUUGAGAUUAAGUGGCCUGAACACCUGACACAGAUCGUUCCCUA